GCGAACGGGUGAGUAACACGUGGGCAAUCUGCCCUUCACUCUGGGACAAGCCCUGGAAACGGGGUCUAAUACCGGAUACGAGUCUGGGAGGCAUCUCCUGGACUGGAAAGCUCCGGCGGUGAAGGAUGAGCCCGCGGCCUAUCAGCUUGUUGGUGGGGUAAUGGCCUACCAAGGCGACGACGGGUAGCCGGCCUGAGAGGGCGACCGGCCACACUGGGACUGAGACACGGCCCAGACUCCUACGGGAGGCAGCAGUGGGGAAUAUUGCACAAUGGGCGAAAGCCUGAUGCAGCGACGCCGCGUGAGGGAUGACGGCCUUCGGGUUGUAAACCUCUUUCAGCAGGGAAGAAGCGAAAGUGACGGUACCUGCAGAAGAAGCGCCGGCUAACUACGUGCCAGCAGCCGCGGUAAUACGUAGGGCGCAAGCGUUGUCCGGAAUUAUUGGGCGUAAAGAGCUCGUAGGCGGCUUGUCACGUCGGGUGUGAAAGCCCGGGGCUUAACCCCGGGUCUGCAUCCGAUACGGGCAGGCUAGAGUGUGGUAGGGGAGAUCGGAAUUCCUGGUGUAGCGGUGAAAUGCGCAGAUAUCAGGAGGAACACCGGUGGCGAAGGCGGAUCUCUGGGCCAUUACUGACGCUGAGGAGCGAAAGCGUGGGGAGCGAACAGGAUUAGAUACCCUGGUAGUCCA
This 685-nucleotide ribosomal RNA is filed under the name Streptomyces sp. MC_MAS_1a. Its description in RNAcentral is "bacterial SSU rRNA". It matches the Rfam family "Bacterial small subunit ribosomal RNA", at positions 98 to 797 of the family's 1533-position model. Lineage: Bacteria; Bacillati; Actinomycetota; Actinomycetes; Kitasatosporales; Streptomycetaceae. The record is from RNAcentral.